AUAUCACGUUGAAAAAUUAGUUCUCAUACGAUCACCAAAGUUAAGCAAUGUCGUGCCUGAUCAGUACCUAGAUGGGUGACCGCUUGGCAAUACCAGGUGCUGUAAG
Acanthosepion pharaonis is the source of this 106-nucleotide non-coding RNA. Lineage: Eukaryota; Metazoa; Mollusca; Cephalopoda; Sepiida; Sepiidae. The record is from the annotation of a GenBank genome assembly.